CAAAAAGUAGCUUAAAACAAAGCAUUCGACUUACAAUCGAACGAUAUUGCACCAAUCUUUUUGA
This 64-nucleotide transfer RNA is filed under the name Tropidophis melanurus. RNAcentral's name for it is "tRNA-Val". It matches the Rfam family "tRNA". From Rfam's summary of the family: Transfer RNA (tRNA) molecules are approximately 80 nucleotides in length. Their secondary structure includes four short double-helical elements and three loops (D, anti-codon, and T loops). The record is from RNAcentral. Lineage: Eukaryota; Metazoa; Chordata; Lepidosauria; Squamata; Tropidophiidae.